This 716-nucleotide ribosomal RNA is filed under the name Pantoea sp. Its description in RNAcentral is "bacterial SSU rRNA". The record is from RNAcentral. Lineage: Bacteria; Pseudomonadati; Pseudomonadota; Gammaproteobacteria; Enterobacterales; Erwiniaceae.
ACGCUGGCGGCAGGCCUAACACAUGCAAGUCGAACGGUAGCACAGAGAGCUUGCUCUCGGGUGACGAGUGGCGGACGGGUGAGUAAUGUCUGGGGAUCUGCCCGAUAGAGGGGGAUAACCACUGGAAACGGUGGCUAAUACCGCAUAACGUCGCAAGACCAAAGAGGGGGACCUUCGGGCCUCUCACUAUCGGAUGAACCCAGAUGGGAUUAGCUAGUAGGCGGGGUAAUGGCCCACCUAGGCGACRAUCCCUAGCUGGUCUGAGAGGAUGACCAGCCACACUGGAACUGAGACACGGUCCAGACUCCUACGGGAGGCAGCAGUGGGGAAUAUUGCACAAUGGGCGCAAGCCUGAUGCAGCCAUGCCGCGUGUAUGAARAAGGCCUUCGGGUUGUAAAGUACUUUCAGCGGGGAGGAAGGCGAUGCGGUUAAUAACCGCGUCGAUUGACGUUACCCGCAGAAGAAGCACCGGCUAACUCCGUGCCAGCAGCCGCGGUAAUACGGAGGGUGCAAGCGUUAAUCGGAAUUACUGGGCGUAAAGCGCACGCAGGCGGUCUGUUAAGUCAGAUGUGAAAUCCCCGGGCUUAACCUGGGAACUGCAUUUGAAACUGGCAGGCUUGAGUCUUGUAGAGGGGGGUAGAAUUCCAGGUGUAGCGGUGAAAUGCGUAUAGAUCUGGAGGAAUACCGGUGGCGAAGGCGGCCCCCUGGACAAAGAC